UCCCAGGUAGUUCAAAUGGUAAAGAAUCUGCCUGCAAUGUGGGAGACCCAGGUUCGAUUCCUGGUUCAGGAA
Molecule: transfer RNA, 72 nt
Filed under: Bos taurus (domestic cattle)
Lineage: Eukaryota; Metazoa; Chordata; Mammalia; Artiodactyla; Bovidae
Also listed under: 5 other names
Rfam family: tRNA
About the family: Transfer RNA (tRNA) molecules are approximately 80 nucleotides in length. Their secondary structure includes four short double-helical elements and three loops (D, anti-codon, and T loops).
Source: Rfam by way of RNAcentral